UCACAGAGGUUUAAUUACCUCUUUUCCCCUCACGAGAAAAAAGGCGGGAAAACCCCCCAUAGAUAGGGGGCUCUGAGGCGGCUUCCGGUGGGGCUCUGAGGGGAUUUCCGGUGGGGCUGUGAGGCGGCGGCGGGAGCGACGCCUUCCGCGCUAAUAAACAGCCAGAAACCGCCAGUUCUUGCUCUUAAUUAGCGCCAAAUCGUGAUUAAUUGCUCUUUCCUAGGCUUAAUUAGGCCUAAUUGCCCUCACGGAGGUUUAAUUACCUCCUUUCCCCUCACGUGAAAAAAGGCGGGAAAACCGCCGCUGACCACAGAGCUGGGAGGACCCGCGGGGUAGAGCGCCCCCCGCGCAUGCGCACAGACAGCGGGAGGCCUCCAGCGCUCCCUAUGGAACCAUAGAGUGGCGCGGGGCAGAGCGGCUCCGUGAGGCAGCGCUGAGGAGACUUCCGGUGCGGCUCUGAGGGGAUUUCCGGCGCGGCCGCCAUGGCGGAGAUCCCGUUCACUCGGGUGGUGUCGGUGACCAGCGCGGACCCGCGGCACCCGGCGGAGAAUCUGCUGCGGCCCGAGGAUGGCGGGAAGUGGAGGGGAGCGGCGGCGGGGGAGAAACAGCUGAGCGUGGUGCUGGAGGUGGGACUGGCGUAAACUGGGGGGGACUGGGAGGGGACUGGGAGAGGAGUGGGAUAAACUGGGAGGGGACUGGGAUGAACUGGGAGGGGAUUGAGGGGGACUGGGAUGGACUGGGACAAACUGGGAGAGGACUGGGAGGUGAUUGGGAUAAACUGGGAGGGGAUUAGGAAGGACUGGGGUGGACUGGGAAGGGAUUGAGAGGGACUGGGAUGGACUGGGAAUAACUGGGAUAAACUGGGAGGGGAUUUGGGGGGACAGGGAUGAACUGGGAGGGCAUUUAGAGGGACUGGGAUGGACUGGGAGGGUAUCGAGAGAGACUGGGAUAAACUGGGAGGGACUGGGAUGGGACUGGGAUAAAUUGGAAGAGGAUUUGGGGGGAUUGGGAGGGACUGGGAUGGACUGGGAGGGUAUCGAGAGGGACUGGGAUAAACUGGGAGGGGAUUGAGAUGGACUGGGAUAAACUGGGAUGGACUGGGAGGGGGUUUGGGG
This 1115-nucleotide long non-coding RNA is filed under the name Taeniopygia guttata (zebra finch). RNAcentral's name for it is "lncRNA (ENSTGUG00000027349.1)". Lineage: Eukaryota; Metazoa; Chordata; Aves; Passeriformes; Estrildidae. The record is from RNAcentral.